GUAUAUGACAGUUGUUCAAAGCUUUUUGCUAUGACUGAUCACAAAUUGCUUUACUGGCAAAGAUUUAUCAUUAAAUUAAAUGGUAUUUGUCUUUGUAGGAUUUUGGGGAAACAUUCUUGCUGGAAAUCAUAUGCCACCAGAGAUGGUAAUUUUGUCAUCUGGUGAUGACGCAGCAGUUGUGGAGGAGCCGUUCACCAUAGUAACGGAAAGUCAGUUUUUGAAAGAGAAGAUAAAACAAGAUGAACCGAUGAACCAGAACAACUGAAUAAAGAAUUUCACACUGCCUGUGUCAAUAUUAAAAUUCAAGAUAUUUGAUUAUUUGAUUAUUAGAUUAAUUACUCAACUAUACAAAUUACUUAAAUAUAUAAAUAUGAUCUGAUGCCACAGAUAGUAAAAAAGCAGCCAAUGUUUUACACUCUUUUACAGGUGAAAAUAAAAAUUCAGAGUCACAAUUGUC
Long non-coding RNA from Xyrauchen texanus (razorback sucker), 457 nucleotides. RefSeq lists it as uncharacterized. The transcript is spliced from 3 exons. Lineage: Eukaryota; Metazoa; Chordata; Actinopteri; Cypriniformes; Catostomidae. The record is from RefSeq and is a predicted model, not a curated record.